This 292-nucleotide ribosomal RNA is filed under the name uncultured bacterium. Its description in RNAcentral is "partial 16S ribosomal RNA". It matches the Rfam family "Bacterial small subunit ribosomal RNA", at positions 505 to 796 of the family's 1533-position model. The record is from RNAcentral.
GUGCCAGCAGCCGCGGUAAAACGUAGGACGCAAGCGUUAUCCGGAGUUACUGGGCGUAAAGCGCGGGCAGGCGGUUCCUUAAGUCUGAUGUGAAAGCGCCCGGCUCAACCGGGCGAGGCCAUUGGAAACUAGGGAACUGGAGGGCAGUAGAGGUAAGCGGAAUUCCGGGUGGAGUGGUGAAAUGCGUAGAGAUCCGGAGGAACACCAGAGGCGAAGGCGGCUUACUGGGCUGCACCUGACGCUGAGCCGCGAAAGCCAGGGGAGCGAACGGGAUUAGAUACCCCAGUAGUCC